GCAAGUCGAGCGCUUCCCUUCGGGGAGGAGCGGCGGACGGGUUAGUAACGCGUGGGAAUAUACCCUUCACUACGGAAUAGCCUCGGGAAACUGAGAGUAAUACCGUAUACGCCCUUCGGGGGAAAGAUUUAUCGGUGAAGGAUUAGCCCGCGUUGGAUUAGGUAGUUGGUGAGGUAACGGCUCACCAAGCCUACGAUCCAUAGCUGGUUUGAGAGGAUGAUC
Molecule: ribosomal RNA, 222 nt
Filed under: uncultured bacterium
Lineage: Bacteria
Description: partial 16S ribosomal RNA
Rfam family: Bacterial small subunit ribosomal RNA
Source: RNAcentral